GACAUAACUCAGUGGCAGAGAACCUGCCUUGCAAGCUGAAGGGCCCAGGUUCAAUCUCUGGCAUCCA
This is a non-coding RNA of Podarcis lilfordi (Lilford's wall lizard), 67 nucleotides long. The record is from the annotation of a GenBank genome assembly. NCBI's taxonomy places the organism in Eukaryota, Metazoa, Chordata, Lepidosauria, Squamata, Lacertidae.